Felis catus (domestic cat) is the source of this 1756-nucleotide long non-coding RNA. RefSeq lists it as uncharacterized. The record is from RefSeq and is a predicted model, not a curated record. The transcript is spliced from 4 exons. Lineage: Eukaryota; Metazoa; Chordata; Mammalia; Carnivora; Felidae.
CUGCAGGUGGGGCGGGGCCGAAAGUAAUGGCGGGGAAUGUGCUUCCUGAUUGGCCAGCUUCUCCACCUGGUGCAUCCUGGGAGUUGUAGUCCCAGGCAAGGCACUGUAGGAGAAAGUUCUGGAUGCGAGACUGGAAGUGACUAGCAGUGACCUGUGGGCUGAGGGGGAGAGAGGGAAAGGUGUUGACGUUUUACUUCCUGUGUGCCAGGCGCUGUGCUAGGGCAUUUCUCAACCUGGUACAACAUCAAUCACUGUAAAGCAGAAUUCCUCAAGCUUUAUGGUACACAACAGUUACUUAUGAUGCUUGUGAAAAUGCAGAUUCCCAGGCUCGCCCUGAAGACUUUGAUUUAAUAUGUCUAAGCACAACUCUGGGAAUAUAGUAAGUGCUCAAUACGUCUUCGUGCGGUUCACUUCAGCCUGUGUAAAUGAAUCGGCCUGCUGCUAUAGUGAUAUCCUCAAGAGUCAGAGAAACCAAGCUGGGCGUUAGCACCUGCCGCUCCUGCCAGCAAAGCUCUGACAGUGGAAGCCAUCCCCCCACCUUCAUGACUUCUGAGCCUUCUGAGAGAGGGAGAGUCCCCAUGGUGGCUAAGCAGAAAGUGGAUGAACCACAAUAAGAAACAUUGGUGAGGGAACAGAAACAAAAAACAGAACUUGUGCUACCCGCACCUGGUCUGAGAAGCACUGCUCCAGGCUAAUGUUACCAGCUUUGGCUUGAUUGUCCCUGAGCCCUCCCCAGCCCUACCAUCCUCCCCAUCUCUCCUUUCCACCAUAUUCCUGCUCCUACCUGCUUCCGGCCUUGAACCUGCAGAUGUGACCUUCCUCCUGCUGGCGGCUCUUCUGACCUCUCCCCAUUUAGCCUCUGCCCCCCAGCCAUCUAGAGCAACUCAGAUGUGACUUCCUCAGCCAGACCUUCCCAACACACCCUCAGUCUCAGGGCUCUCCUUGUCCUUUUGUAUCACGUGUUGUUCCUCUUUCUUCCGGGCACCUGAUCCCCGCUGGAGAGUUUCCUGGGAGCUCCACUGUUUAAUGCUAGACCUACCCGAUCCCCCCAGCUGCAUGAAGGCAGGCACCACCGUACUGGCUUGUCCAUCACCAUCUCCUGGUUUCCCGUAAGAUGCCUAGCACAUAUGAGGUGCCCAGGGAACAUUUUUAGUUUUGGCACAUUAAAUGAUUGAGGAAAUGGAUAAUCAACGGAACUCAAAGAUCACUAUAGCCAUAUUAGUGAACCAUCUGUCUGCCUCUGGGAAGAGUUGCUCAUUUCAUCUUUCUGACCUCUUAUGCUUUACUAAGCCUUUUCUAAAAAUUGCAUUUCUUCCACCAUAUACUCCCCCAAAAGCAAGGCCUUGGCAUCAGGGAGAACUGAGUUUAAAUCCCAGUUUCUCCACCACCCAGCUGUACGACCUUAGGCAAGUGAUCUGAGCUGUCUGAGACUCAGUUUUCCUCAUUUAUAAAAUGGAUAUAGAAACACCUACUUCACAGGAUUCUUAGAAAAUUAGAUGAGGUAGUAAAAUUCAAAACACCGAGCAGACCUGUCCAGAGUAGAUGCUCAACCAGUAUUAAUUCUUUUCUCCUCCCUUGUCUCCUCCAUACUCUGUUAUGACUUCACGAAGCCACAGGCAGUGCCUUGGUCAUCAUUGUACCUCAGGAGCUUGAGAUACAGCAGGUGCUAAAUAGAAGUGUGUUGAGUGAACGGAUAAAUAACCCAUUAUUAAAUUAUUAUUAUUAAGUUGUUAAAUAAAAAGUAAUUUGAUCAAUA